RNAcentral lists this ribosomal RNA (253 nucleotides) under uncultured bacterium. Its description in RNAcentral is "partial 16S ribosomal RNA". It matches the Rfam family "Bacterial small subunit ribosomal RNA", at positions 524 to 776 of the family's 1533-position model. The record is from RNAcentral.
UACGUAGGGAGCAAGCGUUGUCCGGAAUCAUUGGGCGUAAAGCGCGCGUAGGUGGCCCUGUAAGUCCGUUGUGAAAGUCAAAGGCUCAACCUUUGAAAGCCGAUGGAUACUGCAGGGCUAGAGUCCGGAAGAGGCGAGUGGAAUUCCUGGUGUAGCGGUGGAAUGCGCAGAUAUCAGGAGGAACACCAAUAGCGAAGGCAGCUCGCUGGGACGGUACUGACACUGAGGCGCGAAAGCGUGGGGAGCGAACAGG